This 5706-nucleotide long non-coding RNA is filed under the name Citrus sinensis (sweet orange). RNAcentral describes it as "long non-coding RNA (CSIN_LNC000152)". Lineage: Eukaryota; Viridiplantae; Streptophyta; Magnoliopsida; Sapindales; Rutaceae. The record is from RNAcentral.
AAUGUACCAAUGGUUGAGCACCCUUCGAGCGAGUGAUGACUCCAGAAUAAGAAAGAAAAGAGAAUAAGACAGAGAUCAUAAAGAGAAGGAAUUUUUCAUUCAUCAGCAUGCCUUACACAAUAUUCCUUUUUGGGAUAUAUAGCCCGUGACUCCUCUAGAGCAUUAAUCUAAGGAUAAAAACAAACAUGAGCUGGCAGUUGUAAAAUAUCUAAAACAAAAUUUAAAUAAUAGCUAAGAAGAAUUAUCCAUCCAUCCUUGCUGUCAUGGUUCACGUGAGGUAGUCUUUCAUCCAGUCUGGUUGUUUCUUGGUUCUCUCAGGUCUAGAAUUGAGUUGUUGAUUUGCUUCUGUAAAAUCAUUACUAGGCUCCUUGUCCACGGGCUUGGCUCCUUCUUCCUCUCUUGGCAAAAUGGUCAGUGGAUCUAAUUUGAUUGGCAAGCUCGUAUCAUUCCCCCUCUCUUGGAAAGUGCAAAGCAAGAUAUUGUUGACAAAAAGCUCCAAAAUUUUCCCAGGUUACGUUUUAAGGAGAGCUACUUGUCCACUGCACAAAGACUUGUGGGACCAAUUUUCCUUUGCUGUAACACUGUGCGAGUAGCAUAAAUAACUGUUGGUAAAGACAAGGGGUGAUUGUCGAUGUUGUAUUUUGGUAGUGGAGAAAUUUUGAGAAGAGUGGAGCCAUGAAAUGGUUUAAGUAAGGAAACAUGAAAAACAUGAUGAAUUUUCGAUGCCGGAGGUAACUCAAGCUUAUAAGCAAUAGGACCUAUGCGAGCGAUUACUGUAAAAGGUCCAUAGUAGCGUUUGGCCAAUUUAUGACAUGAAUGUGAAGCUACUGUGUACUGGCAGUACGAUUGAAGCUUGACCAGCACCUUAUCUCCAACAGAAAACUGAACUUCUCGGCGAUGAGUAUUAACUUUUUGGGUCAUUCGAUGUUGAGCUUGACGCAAGUUAUCUUUCAAAGAUUUCAACAGUUUAUCACGCUCGAGAAGGAUUUCAUCCAAAGCUUGGAUUGAAGUAGAGCUUUUCACAUAAGGAGGAAUUGUGGGCGGAAGUCUACCAAACAAUGCCUGAUAUGGAGUCAUGUUUAAACCGCUAUGGUAGCUGGAAUUGUAACAGAAUUCUGGCCAACUAAGAAGUGAAACCUAAGUCUUCAGUUUGUCUUGUGUGAAGGCACGAAGAUAUUGCUCAAGACUGCGAUUGACAACCUCCAUCUGGCCAUCUGUUUGCGGAUGAUAGGCCGUGCUGUGGUGUAGAGAGGUGCCACUAAGAGUCAACAACCGAUCCCAAAACUGACUCAAGAACACAGGAUCGCGAUCCGAAAUAAUAAAGCUAGGGAAGCCAUGAAUUUUAACCACAAUGUCAAUAAAUAACUCUGUAAUUUUAUGGGCCGUGAAGUUACCUGGUAAUAGACCGAAAUGGGUCGAUUUCGUCAGCCUAUCUACCACAACCAAAAUAGCAGAAUAACCGUGAGACAAAGGCAGUCCUGUGAUGAAAUCCAUAGUGAUUUUGUCCCAAACCAAACUUGGAAUAGGUAAUGGUUAAAGAAGACCAGCAUAGGCUUUAGUUGAAUACUUUGUUUGUUGACAUAUUAAGCAUUCUAUGACAAAUUUUUCAAUAUCACUCCGCAUGUGAAACCAAAAGAAAUUGGCUGACAAUCUAAUGUAAGUCUUGUUGAUGCCAACGUGCCCUGCCAAUGGGGUUGAAUGAAACUCCUUUAAUAAGGCUGCUUUCGAAGAAGAUUCAACACUAAUUUAAUAUUUUCCUUUGUAGAGAAGUAUUCCAUUAUGAAUGGAAUAGUCAGCCGUGAACUGCCCUGAAGAAACUUGGUGAUGAAGCUUGAGAAGGUCAUGACAAAUCGAAUUUUCCCGCAAUAAUUCCUUAAGGAGAUUGAAGGAAGGGCUACUAUGAAGAAAUAAACAAAAAGAGCUCGCAUACUUGUUUUCAAUUGGCUCUAUUUCUUUGGAGGCUGCAUGGACUCGGGAUAAGGCAUUAGUCGUUCGGUUUGUAGGCCCGGUUUAUACUCAAUCCGAAAUUGAAAACCAAGUAACUUCCGCAGAUAAACUUGCUGAUCAGGAGUCUGGAUCACUUGUUGUAGUAGUUCCUUGAUGUUUCGAUGGUCUGUGCGUAUUACAAAGAACCUGCCCAAGAGGUAUUGCCGCCAUUUGGAGACUGCUUCUACAAUCGCAUGCAAUUCUUUUAAGUAAGUGGAUGAAGCUCUUAGUUUUGGCCCAAUUGUUUUUUGCUGAAAUAAGCCACUGGAUAGCCCUAUUGCAUAAGGACUACUCCAAUUCCUAAGUUACUGGCAUCUGAUUCAAUCACGAACUCAGAAUCAAAAUUGGGUAAUUUGAGCACCGGAGCUUGAACCAUUGCUUGCUUAAGGGAUUCAAAUGUUGUUGUGGCUUCAGGAUUCCGUUGAAAUGCAUCUUUACAUAACAAGUCGGUUAAAGGAGCGGCCAAGGAAACGUAGCCAUGAAUGAACCGUCGGUAGUAGCCCGUAAGGCCAAGGAAAUCUCUCAACUGCUUGGUAGUUUGCGGCAGUGGCCACUCGAGCAUGGCGGUCACCUUUUGGGGAUCAGCUUGCACUCCCAUAAUAGAAAUAAUGUGACCAAGAUAUUUAAUGCUUGAUUUACAAAAGAGACAUUUGCUCAAUUUAACAAAAAAAUUAAUGAAUUUGCAAACAUAAUAGUACCUGUUCAAGGUGAAUUAAAUGGUCAGCCAUGGUAGCGCUAUAAACCAAGAUGUCGUCGAAGAAGACGAUCACAAAUUUUCGAAGAUAGGCAGCAAAUAUCUGAUUCAUAGUGGCUUGGAACGUCGAGGGCGCAUUCGUCAAACCAAACGGCAUAACAAGAAAUUCAUAAUGGCCUUUAUGUGUCUGAAAUGCCGUUUUGUAAAUGUCUCAAGAGCGGACUUGAAUCUGAUGGUAUCCAGCUCUCAAGUCUAAUUUACUGAAGACCGUAGCCUUGCCAAGUUCAUCAAAGAGUUCGUCAACAGUAGGAAUCAAAAAUUUAUCUGGGAUUGUAACUACAUUUAGAGCACGAUAAUCCACACAAAAGUGAUAUGUGCCAUCUUUCUUUUUCACUAAAAGCACUGGGGAAGAGAAAGGACUUUGGCUGGGUCAUAUGAUUCCUUGGUCAGACAUCUUUUUAAUUAGUUUCUUCAUUUCAUUCUUCUAGAAGUGUGGAUAUCGGUAGGGGCAUACAUUGAUAGGGGAAGUGUUUGGAAGGAGGUGUAUUUUGUGGUCUAUAAUUCUGUGUGGUGGAAGGGUUGUGGGUGAUAAAAAUAGAUGAUGAUAUUAGUGGAGAAGGUCACGGAAUUGGGGUGGUAAAUCAGUUGGAAAUUCUAAUUGGGAAGGAGGUGUUUGUCUUGGAGAGGACUCUAUUGGCAAUGAAGAUAAAGGUUGAAGAGCACAAAAACUUGAAAUUGCAAUGCUGUGGACCAGUGCCCUAAAUUGAUUAUAAGUGACUAAAGUUGGAGAUGUAGAUACGUCACCUCGAAGAAUAAUCGAUUUUUCAUUAAAAGAAAAUUCCAUGGAGAGCGCCGAAUAAUCAUGCGAUACCCUCCCUAAUUGUUGCAACCACUGUAUCCCAAGAACAAUGUCAACUCCCUUGAUAGGCAAGACAAAAAGGUCCAAUGGAAACUUUGUGCCUUGUAGUGUUAAGUGAACUUGCUGACAAAAUUGAGUGCACAACAAAAAAUCACCAUUUCCUAUGUAGACGCGAAAUGGUGUUGUUGGCUGAAUGGCGAUGUCGGCGCAUUCCGCCACUGAUGGCUUGAUAAAGUUAUGAGUGCUACCAUUGUCGAUUAAUACUUGGAAGGUGUGGUAUCCAAUCCUGCCCUGUAAACGAAGGGAACGAGGAUUUGCUUGUCCAGCGAGAGCAUUUAGACUUGAGAUAUCGCCAGUGACAGCGGAUUCGUCUUCGUCUGGUGGUUCCCCUUUUUUGGUCGGGUCUAAAUUAUCAUCGUCGGCUCUGAUAAGUAACAAGAACCAGUGACAGUAACGGUGAUUGGGAUUGUACUUCUGGUCACAAGAGUAACAGAGACCUUUCUCGCGUCUCUCGUGUAGCUCAGUAGGGGAUAAUUGACGGAUGGGUAAAUUUGGAGUGGGGAGAAGUGCGGGUAAAAUGUUUGUUUUAUUGUUAAUGUGUGGUGGUGGAGGUUUUGAUGAUGGUGGGUUAGCACUUAUGGUGGAGGAAAUUGGAAGGGAAGGCAUGGGUAAAGGAACGGUUUUGGUUUAUGUGUUUGUAAUGGAAGGAAAUAUUGACUGUGGCUGCCAUUUAGACUAGGAGCAAUUGUGUUGUUUAGUGUCAUUAAAUUUGGCUUUAAGCGCUCGAGCCAUAGCAAAGGUUUCCACGAGUGUUGCUGGCCGAUUAAAGAGAAGUUCUCGCCUGAUGUCCUGCUGCAGGCCGGUUAUGAAAAAAACUGAUGAGAAGUUGCUCGGAAACGCCAUUAACUCUGUUCAUGAGUUAUUCAAAAGCCGAUUGAAAUUCAACGACAGUGGUGGUUUGGGUGAGUUUAGACAGCUCGCCUUGUGGAUCAUCAUAAAGGGUAGUUGCAAAACGAUACUUCAGAUUAGCCAAAAAUUCUUUCCAAGUUGUGAGUAAAUUGUUGGAUUUCAUCCACUGAUACUAGCCUACUGCUCGACCCUCCAUGUGAAAGGAAACGAUACGGAGGCAUUGAUGUUCUGGAGUACCAUGAAACUCGAAAAACUCCUCCACUCGAAAUAAUCAGCCGUAUGGAUCAGAGCCAUCAAAACGUGGAACUUCCAUCUUCAUGGAUUUGACCAUAGGAGAGAUAUCUCGCUCGUCGAAUGGAAUAGAUGAAAGUGGUGGCACUACUAGUGGUUGUUUUAAAGAACCAGCCACAUUUGUUGGAGACUCACGUAUUUUAGAUAGAAAUUCAGCAAAACGGGAAUCUACUGCAGUCAUAAAUUGCUGCAUCAUCUAGUGAAAGGAUAAGGCUUGUUUGUCAAUUUUCUCACUAAGUUCCUUUAAUGUGAUGCUCUCAUUAGAAUCGGCCAUGGAAAGAGUCAAUGAAAGCACCAAUGAUAUACUUUUCUACUAGAAAUCAAGAAAUGUACCAAUGGUUGAACACUCUUCGAGCGAGUGACGGCUCCAUAAUAAGAAAGAAAAGAGAAUAAGACAGAGAUUAGAAAGAGAAGGAAUUUUUUAUUCAUCAGCAUGCCUUACACAAUAUUCUUUUUUGGGAUAUAUAGCCCGUGACUCCUCUAGAGCAUUCUAAGGAUAAAAACAAACAUGAGCUGGCAAUUGUAAAAUAUCUAAAACAGAAUUUAAAUAAUAGCUAAGAAGAAUUAUCCAUCCAUCAUUGCUGCCAUGGUUUACGUGAGAUAGUCUUUCAUCCAGCCUGACUGUUUCUUGGUUCUCUCAGGUCUAGAAUUGAGCUGUUGAUUUGCUUCUGCAAAAUCAUUACUGGGCUCCUUGUCCACGGGCUUGGCUCCUUCUUCCUCUCUUGGCAAAAUGGUCAGUGGAUCCAAUUUGAUUGGCAAGCUCGUAUCAGCGACACCAUCAACAGUUACCCAAACUACCUCCUGGAAUCGCAGAGACAACAACCAGCAAACUGAACACCAACCAACAGUAACAAAUAAUAAUCUAGAAAUACAAAUAUAAAGAUACAAUAAUGGAAAUAAAUGAAAAGUAGAGAUAAAAACAGAAAAAUAAAAUAAAAACGAAAAAAUUUAAAAAUACCAGUACCGG